GACGUGCUAAUCUGCGAUAAGCGUCGGUGAGGUGAUAUGAACCGUUAUAACCGGCGAUUUCCGAAUGGGGAAACCCAGUGUGUUUCGACACACUAUCAUUAACUGAAUCCAUAGGUUAAUGAGGCGAACCGGGGGAACUGAAACAUCUAAGUACCCCGAGGAAAAGAAAUCAACCGAGAUUCCCCCAGUAGCGGCGAGCGAACGGGGAGGAGCCCAGAGCCUGAAUCAGUGUGUGUGUUAGUGGAAGCGUCUGGAAAGGCGCGCGAUACAGGGUGACAGCCCCGUACACAAAAAUGCACAUAUUGUGAGCUCGAUGAGUAGGGCGGGACACGUGGUAUCCUGUCUGAAUAUGGGGGGACCAUCCUCCAAGGCUAAAUACUCCUGACUGACCGAUAGUGAACCAGUACCGUGAGGGAAAGGCGAAAAGAACCCCGGCGAGGGGAGUGAAAAAGAACCUGAAACCGUGUACGUACAAGCAGUGGGA
This 484-nucleotide ribosomal RNA is filed under the name Escherichia coli. RNAcentral's name for it is "partial 23S ribosomal RNA". It matches the Rfam family "Bacterial large subunit ribosomal RNA", at positions 55 to 578 of the family's 2925-position model. Lineage: Bacteria; Pseudomonadati; Pseudomonadota; Gammaproteobacteria; Enterobacterales; Enterobacteriaceae. The record is from RNAcentral.